Molecule: non-coding RNA, 448 nt
Organism: Ceratotherium simum simum (southern white rhinoceros)
Lineage: Eukaryota; Metazoa; Chordata; Mammalia; Perissodactyla; Rhinocerotidae
Source: RefSeq, a predicted model, not a curated record
UGACUUCCUUCUCUCUAGAACAGUCCCUGGGCUCUUCUCUUGAAGCUGAUGCAAAGAGACUCAGAGGCUCGGGGAACUAAGAUCUGCUAGUUCCAUCUGUUCAUCCGGAAACUGGGGACUGAGGAGGGACAAGGCUUUGGCCCUGGUGGCGCAGUGAGUUACCAGCCAGGCUGGGCUAGAGCCCCAAAAAUUAUCUGCUUGGAGCCACACAUGGUUUAUAACAAUCUCUGGCAAAACCUCAGAAAAAAGAUACGCACGCUUUUGUCUUAGACAGAUGUCAGAGGCUGUGGCAGGGCCCUGUGAAAAGGCUCCCCAGGGGGCGUGAGGCUCUGGGAGUGACGACUCCAACAGAGGGACAGCCUCGUGGGGCUUUCUUCUCCCCAGGAGUGUGACACAGUCAAAAAGGAGAAAAAGAGCCACAGGCAAGACAGUUGCCGCUGAAACUGGA